Molecule: ribosomal RNA, 390 nt
Filed under: uncultured eukaryote
Lineage: Eukaryota
Description: SSU rRNA
Rfam family: Eukaryotic small subunit ribosomal RNA
Source: RNAcentral
AGCUCCAAUAGCGUAUAUUAAAGUUGCUGCAGUUAAAAAGCUCGUAGUUGGAUUUCUGAUGCGACCUGCCUGGCCCGCCGUGGUUACACGCGUGAGUGCCGGGUGUUGUCCGUCUGUCUUCCUGUGACUUGCUGCCCUCUUCACUGAGUGGUGGACAAGUUGUAGGAUCUUUUACUUUGAACAAAUUAGAGUGUUUCAAGCAGGCUUCUGCCAUGAAUACAUUAGCAUGGAAUAAUCAUUUAGGACUUCGGUUCUAUUUUGUUGGUUUCGAGAGCUGAAGUAAUGAUUGAUAGGGAUAGUUGGGGGUGCUAGUAUUCAGAGGCCAGAGGUGAAAUUCUUGGAUUCUCUGAAGACUAACUUAUGCGAAAGCAUUCACCAAGGAUGUCUUCU